Non-coding RNA from Monodelphis domestica (gray short-tailed opossum), 7902 nucleotides. The record is from RefSeq and is a predicted model, not a curated record. Lineage: Eukaryota; Metazoa; Chordata; Mammalia; Didelphimorphia; Didelphidae.
UUUUAAACCCUUACCUUCUGUCUUGGAGUCAUUACUGUGUAUUGGCUCCAAGGCAGAAGAGUGGUAAGGGCUAGGCAAUGGGGGUCAAGUGACUUGCCCAGGGUCACACAGCUGGGAAGUGUCUGAGGCCAGAUUUGAACCUAGGACCUCCCAUCUCUAGGGCUGGCUCUCAAUCCACUGAGCUACCUAGCUGCCCCCGGUUUAAUUUUUAAAAGGGUUGGACUUAUAAUUUAUGAGCAUGGUCACCAGGAAUUUAAUUAAUUCCAAAGAGAUUUUAUUUACAAUUUCAUUACAAAAUGAAGAAAGAGCGAAGCAAGAAAUCAGAGAGAGGAUAAGUAAGAUAUCUAGCCUAAACAUUAAUUAAUUUGCUCCCCGCUCCUGGGUAGGGAGAGUUAAUUCUUAGCAGGAGGGGCCUCUGCUCUUGUAGUCAAGGCCUGGGGAUACAGGGAGCCUCUCUCAAGAGGAUAGUCUUUCCUGAGGCCAGUCUCUUCAGAGGAAAAACAGCAGUUAAGAGUCAGCUUUUCACUCACCACAUAUCAGUCCAUCAGGAACAGGGUCUCAGGUCCAGUCAGCAGAUCAGAGAAUGAAGAAUUCUUCCUCUCACAGGAAGUAACAGCUCCUUUUAAAGACAUUUUCUCUUGUGUCACUUCCUGUGUCUUCCCCUAAUUUUUACAUCUGCCAAUCACAGUUGAUGCUCUGCUCUAGGACUGCCCAGAAGGCAGUCAGUCAAUUCUGAUUUACCACCCACUAUUGCACAUAUGGGUCACAGACCUCCCACUUCAUGAUUAAGUGGGAUGUUUGCACUUUUGGUGAUUAGAUCUAAAAAUUGGCAGAUCUCCAUACUCAACUUUAAGUACCGUGUCUUUUCUCUCAUGGGGAUUCAAUCUAAAAAUAGGGGUUACAAUUUAAUCUUCACAAUCAGGGGAGAGUUAAGUAUUUUCAUUGUUAUUAUCAGGGGAGAGUUAGAUUUAAUCUUCAAUAUAUAUGUCUGUGUACAUAACUUAUAACUGAAAUAUACAUUUAAUGGGGAUGCAUGCUAAAUAAUUUUACUAGCAAUACAAUAAAAAAGUUUGGGGACCCCUGGUAGGAGUUAAUCACUUCAUUGACAAACUGUUUUUAACUCUGGAAAUUCCUUGCCCAAUUUUGUCCUAGCACUACUUUUCAUUCAGAGUUCAGAGGAUGCUGGCUUGCAAGGCUUCCUGUAGGAGAUAGCAUUUGAGCUGGACCUUUAAGAUAAGACUUCAGGAUAAGACUUAGGAUAAGACUUCAAUGCUUAGAACUUUGAAAAGUAGAGACUGACUAGGUGAGGGGGUUGAGGGGGAUAGGCGGGGAAUGUUGACUUCUCCCUUAGAGAUUUACCCAUGAUAGUAGAGAAUGAGAAUGGUGGAACCUCAGAGCUGCACUUCCAAAAAAGGAUUUUUUCAGCUUUAAGAAAGGUAUCAUCAUUAGCAAUUUGAGCAGGGUUUCCUCCUCACUUUCAACAAACACCCUCAAGUUGCUCUAGAAAGAGAUACACAAAUUCACACAGAGGGUCAUUGGAUGAUGGAGUUCCAAAUACUAUAGAGCAGAAUAACAAGGUUUGAGAAGAAUACUGUAGCUGGAUAGUCAUACACUAUUACUGUCCUAUCAUAAGUCAUGGCAAACUCAACAAGAAGGACCAUCAGAAGACCAGAAACCCCAGGAGUUGUUGAUACUGGUAAGCAUAGACAUGGGCUGUGUUAUUGGUAGGGACAGCAGCUGAUAUAAAUUCAGGCUGUGGCUCUCAAUAAUAACUGUUUUCACCUGCUGCAUACCUAUGCCCUCAUUCUCUCUUGUUCUUUCAGCUGUGACAGCCAUGAUCCAUUGACAACAAUUAUGUGUUGGACUUUGUAGGGAAAAGGUUUUACCUGGUCCAGUACCAAAAGAUGGAUGGAGCUCAUAUAUAGAAUUCUUGUGAAGUGAAGCAGCAGCAGUAUUUUACCUCCCCUGCCCUUACACACUGGCAGAGAGCUUGAGACUAAACAGUCCUGCAUUCUAGGAGGGAUCCACUGAAUGAGCCUUGAAUGAUGGCAGUAUCCUGGUCUCCCAAACUGACCACUGAUGGAUAUAGAGCCCAAGCUCAUUCUGUGCUUCCUGCCCAAUCCCUUGCCUUCCAAUAAGCCCAAAGUUUGCAAUUUUCACAUUGCCCCAAAUGCACUGCAAUCAGCUCUAUAGUCUUGGUCCUGGGCUCUUUUGUAGCUUUUUCUGCUGGAUUUGCUACCUUCCUCCUUUCUUCAACAAAGAGUGAUAGGGAAGGGGAGAGGUCACAAAACUGUCAGACAAUUUAAUGUAGAGUCAGAGAGCUAUAGGCUUGCAUAUGUCUAUGCAAGCAUCUCUUUAUAGGAGUGGUUUGUUCCCUCUUGCUCUGAGCUUGUUCUGUGUUGGCAUGAGAGGGAACAUUGUGGGCAAAGAUACAGAAGUAGGAAAAUUGAAGGGGUAUGUUUAGGGAAUAUCUCCUAGUCUAGUUUGACUUCAUUUUGCCCUUUGUUUUGAAGAGAACAGUGAAAUCAUGGAAUGAAGAGUUGACUUGGCCACGAAUUGGAUUUAAGUGAGUCAGAGUUGCCCAAAAUUAUCAGCCUUACUCUCUCUUUGAGAGUCAUUAGAGUCUAGUGGUAAAACAAAAGUCAAGAUGACUGGUGAUGGACUGGGAUGCAGUGGAUGACCUUGGCUUCCUUGAUGUCUGGCCAAGGUCUAAGUGCUCCAAGGCAUGAGCUUCGGCCGCCUUCAAAGCCAUUGGAACAAAAUGUUCUCAUCUGUCCAUUCUGCCAUGGAAAUUCCUCACAUGCUUGGGAUAGACAUCCUCUUAACUCAGACCUACUGGUUACUUCUCAACCUGGUUUAGUCAAAACUGAACCCAGUAUCUCGUCCCUUAAAUGUUCUCCCACUCCCAACUUCUCUAUUUCUUUCAAGGGUAACACUAUCUAUCCUCCCAGGCCUUCACACUCAUAACCUAGAUGUCAUCUAGGAUUCUCCAUCAUCUCAUACCCUUUCUCACCUUGCUUUAGAAGCAGUGCUUAAUCUGAGAGCAUAGGAAGGUUGUUUUGGAAGAGAAACAGACAGUGGUAAGUGAUGAGACCAUCAUAAUAGUUCUGGAAGGAGGUGCUAAGGUUUUGAACCCUCUUGUGAAUCUUAAAAUUUCUCAGACUUGUGAAUGAUAAAAAUUCUCAGACUCUACCUUAGAACAUUUGGUUAAGACCAUUCCCCAUUUUAAACAAUGAAGGUAAUUGAUCAGGAAUGUGAGAACUCUAACAUUACUCCACCCAUACUUAAGCAUACUUUAGGGGAAGAUAAAGUUGUAAACUCCUUACUGAACAAUGAAAAGUACUUAACUCAUACUUAUAGUGAGGCAAAAGCCCUUAAGCUAUGUCUAUUUUUAGAUCUAAUACAAAAGAGUGCUAAGUACCUAUGAAGGUCAAAUUAAUCACUAAAAGGUCAGGCAACUUGAAAACUUGCAAGGGACAAACUUAACAAAAGAGGUGUGAAGUUUUAGUCUACCCAGAGCAGUUGAGAACUAAAGAAGGUGUGAAUUAAGAAUGGUCGGUCCUUUGGAAAACGUCUACUGUGAUUGGUAGAUGUGAAAACUUAGGGGAGGUGACAUAGGAGAAAAUUCUCUUUAAAAGGAGGUCAGAAAGACCUCUGAAGUGAGUUCAGCUUGCCAAAGCUGAAUUGGAGGGCUUGGUGGCUGAACUUAGUGGAGCUAAGUUCUCUGGAGGGUCUCUCUGAACACUAGAAUCUUGCUUGGGACAAAUCUUGUGGUGAGUGGAUUAAAGACUGACUGGUCUCUCUUAAGGCUCAGGCCUAGGCCAUUUUGGCCUAGGCCCUUCAUACAUUAUUUCCUCUUACUCUCUCUCUCCCUUUCCUUGAUUCCUUAUUUGUAUUAAUUAAAAUCUCCAUAAAAACCCAGCUGACUUGGGGAUUUCAUAUUUGGGAAUUUUUCCCAUGGCGACCACUUUAUUUUUAAUAUAAAAUCAAGACACAAAAAAUUAUCUUUACAGUUUUGGCAAUUCAAAUCUUGAAACCAUAUUUUCGCGGUCACAGUUUAAGGCAACCACUCUUUUGUCUAUAACACUCUAGUGGCAAAGAGGGAAUGAAAAAGAGGGGAUGGAUGAGAGAAAAAAUGUGGUGGUAGACUUAAGAGGACUUGUUAGUUAUGUGAGGAUAUGGAGAAUGAGAAAGAAAAAAGAUGAAAAGAUAACCAAAUUAUUUAUGAAUGCUUGGAUGUACUUAUAUACCAAUGAAUUUCUCAUUCACCUUUUGUGGCAGCAGCAUUGUGAUUUUAGAGGAUCAUUCAUUUAGAACCAAAAAGGAUCUUAGAGGUCCAUGAGGUCAACCUCUUCAUUUUACAAAUGAAGAAACUGAGACACAGAGAGAUUAAGCAAUUUACCCACAGUUACAUAGCUAGUAAGUAUCUGAGGUGGGAUUUGAUCAUGGGUCUCCCUGAAUUCAGGUGGAGUACACUAUAGAAUAUGCUAUCAAAUUCAAAUAUCUAGCAAAAGAAAGAACUGGAAAAGGAACUCAGGACUUGUGCCUAAUGUAUAAUUUAUGAGAUCAGAUGUGCAGGUGGGAAAGGUAUAACUCAGCUGGGGUUAUAUGCGAUUGUAGUUCUCUAAUCUGGGUUAUUUUUCUAGCUUCCUUCCAGGCUCCCCAAAGACCAACAUCAACUCAAAUUAAAGUAACAAAGAUAUUGAAUAUUGGGUCUACAGCCACAAGGGUAAUUUGGGGCCAUUUUCCUUUUUUGCAACUACCAUGCUUAGCAAGAAGUCCUACCCUCUCACCCAAUGACAUACCUUUGGGUGCCCUACAACUCUUUCUGGGACCCUGUUGGUACAAAAUUCUUUCUUCCAGCUCUGUGGGACCCCUACUCUUUCCCUGUCCUCACACUAUUAGAGUAAUUGUCUUUGUAAAGAACUCUCUGACUUUGGACAGGCCUGUGUGUCCUAUUUAGGGACUUGGGAAAUGUACACGGAGAGGGAGAUGAGGUGAAGGGAAGGAAGGGGUAAGCUCAUGUUUAGAAAGUGCUAAAUCCAGUUAUACAAAGGUCAGCUCUCUCUGGAGACGAGCCUGUCUUUAGGAACCUGGCCAGCAUUUCAAUGCUCUUUCAAGAAGGCUCAAAUCCAAGAAGUCUCAAGUUCAAGGAGAUUUUGAAAAUAGGCCUUUGGGUUGUCUGUCUCCUGUCUUUUUCUGAAUUCAUGAGGGAAGUCUGGGAACCUGACACUUGUUUCCUUUUACCAUAUGUUUUCUCUUUCAAGCCAAAUGGAGCAGUCACACUUUCCUUUUCAUGGUGUCCUUCUGGAGGGGUUAGAGGCAAGACAGAGCAGGUAAAUAGGAAUUCCAUCCUCUUCAUUACUUCCCCAGAACCCUUUGCAGCAAAGAGCACCCAAGUGCUUUAUGAGACACUGCUCUCUAAAUGAUUGGAACUUUCUCCCAAACACUUUGCCAUGCUACAUUAGCAUUUAUUGGUUUGAUAUUUACAUUUGUAAGGGAGCACCCACUUCCUGGGUCCCCAGAAGGCCAUUGAGUCAAGUGAAACAGGUUCUAAUUGCAAUUCAUCCCUCUUCCCCUCCUUUUCUCAUCCUACUCCUUCCUUUCCAAUUCACACCCCUCUCCCCUCCCCUAACAAUCUAAAAAAAUAAAAAAUCGGAGAACUACUAUAAUGGAAUAACUGCCCAAUAAAUCUAUCUUUCCUUUUGUAGACCAGAAGAAACCCAGAAUUGGGUUCUACUAAGUCCAAAGACAAAUGGGAAGGUUGGAGGCUCUAGCCAGAGAAUCCAAAGAAUGUUAAGAACCGAGGCCUUAACAAUUAUCAUUCUAAUCCAAUGCCAUUUUCUAGAUGAGGAAACUGAGGACGAGUGAGGUACAGUGACUUGUCCAGAGUCACAUGGAGUUAGUAGUGAAGCCAGGAUUACUUCUGGGUGGUGGAAAGAACAUAAGAUUUGGGGUCAGACAACCCAGAUUCAUAUUCUAGCUUUGCCUCUUGCUGCCGGUGUGACCUUGGGACACUUGUUUUGCCUUCUUGAGUUUUAAUUUCCUUAUCUUUAGAAUGAAGUUGGAACAAAUGGUUCAUUUCCAGCUCUAGGUUUCGUGAUCCUAGGAAUCUUGGACCUAGACCCUUGGUCCAGUGUUCUUUCUCCCACACCACAUGUCCUUUCAUCUUUUAUCAGCUAUUCUCUCUCCAUCUGGAAACAGCUCAACAGCCUCAUUCCCAUCUGGGUGAGACUGUCAGCCCAAAAGAGAAUGCCUUUACCAUGAAGUCAGGGCAUUGGCGAUUUGGGUACAAGAGCUCUAAGCAUUUGUCUUUAAUCCCCCCUUUGAUUUUAUGUGUGAGGCAGCUGCGGCUCAGUGGUUAAGAAUCCUGGGCCUGGAGUCAGGAAGACCUGAGCUCAAAUGUGGUCUCAGAUACUUCCUAGCUGUGUGACCCUGGGCAAGUCACUUAAACUCCAUUGCCUAGUCAUUACCACUGUUCUGCUUUGGAACCAAUACACAGUAUUGAUUCUAAGGCAGAAGAUAAGAUUUUUUGUUUUGUUCUUACUUUAUUUUUUUAAUGAAGACUAUAACACAUUUAUGUAGAACAGAAUUUAAAUGUUACUAAAAAGUUUUCAUUAUCUCUUCCUCCAACCAACUGAUCCCAAUAUCCACAUUCUUUUCUUAAACUUCUCAAACUCCCUCUAUCUUCCUCUUAUGGAUUUCUUCUUCUAAAAUCACUUGCCCAAGGGGCAGCUCAGUGGAUUGAGAGCCAGGCCAAGAGACAGGAGGUCCUAGAUGCAAAUCUGGUCUUAGACAUUUCCCAGCUGUGUGACCCUGGGCAAGUCACUUGACCCCCAUUGCCUAUCCCUUACCACCCUUCUGCCUUGGAACCAAUACACAGUAUUGAUUCUAAGAUGGAAGGUGAGGGUUUAAAAAUAAAUAAAUAAGUAAAAAAAAUACUAAAAUCAUUUGCCCAAAUUUCUUCUUACACAAACUUUAUUCUCUUUCUUUGUGUCUCCAGUGCUUUGUAUGCUAUUGUGUGUGUGUGUAUAAAUGGAAUUGGAUAUUUACCACUGCCCAUCUAUUUAAAUUUUGGAGAAAUGCAGUCUCUUCUCUUUCUAAGGGAGAUGGGACGAGCAGGAGAUACUUGAAGAGAGGCGACGAUAUUAGAAAGUUUAAGAUAGAUACCAAGGAAGAGGCAAAGGAAUCUAGGCUGCUCUUUGCUGGGCUGCUGCUGCUACUCCUGUAGUCCCACAUAACUGGAUCGUGUCACUGCCACCAGGACAGAAAAUAGAGACACAAGGUGGCUUGUGCCAAUCGACAAGCUCACUAACAGUUGGAGGGAUGCGAGACUGAAGCAAGCAAAAGCCGGGGAGAAUAGCAACCGUAGAAUCAAGAAUUGUAUUGGCUGCAUCAAUGAGAUGAAAUUUGGACUCCUCUCUGGAUUAGAAAAUUUAGAGGAAUAUCUGGAUCGAUUCCUUGGCCAAAAUUGCCAGAGGGGCUGAUCCAAGAUGGUAAUUCUACCUCCCACCGUUCCAUUCCCAGCAAGCAACUGUUCUCUCAUGGAGCUUAUAACUGGUCCUUCAAGUCUGUUUUGCAUUUCCUCCAGGCCACCUGUUUCUAAAAGCCAGUAUCAAGCUAAACUGCAGUUAGCCCUUUCAUUGCUGGUCUCAUUGCACUGAUGGGGAGCUUCUUGGAGCCACAGGUUGUCUCUCAGGCCUGAAAUGCUUUCCUCCUCAUCUUAGCCUCCUGGCUUCAAUUUGUCCUCCAUCCAGCAACAAUAGUGAUGCUCCUAACACAGAGAUCUAUCCAUAUCAUUCUCCUCUCAAGAAGAUUCAACACUUCCCAGGUUCCUCUAGGAUACAGGGCAAAAUUCCCCUGCUUCAUACUUGAAGCCCAUCAAAAUCUGGUUUAAGCCUA